Molecule: small RNA, 168 nt
Filed under: Ruminiclostridium cellobioparum subsp. termitidis
Lineage: Bacteria; Bacillati; Bacillota; Clostridia; Eubacteriales; Oscillospiraceae
Also listed under: 1 other name
Description: Clostridium termitidis Magnesium sequence
Rfam family: M-box riboswitch aptamer (ykoK leader)
About the family: M-box riboswitch, also know as ykoK leader is described as a metaloregulatory RNA that sense divalent metals and function as a genetic control element of genes related to divalent metal transport in bacteria. It was first reported upstream of the B.subtilis ykoK gene and genes with related functions in other bacteria. Phylogenetic analysis of the distribution of M-box RNAs across bacterial genomes revealed that M-box riboswitches are most often employed for the regulation of Mg2+ transporter genes
Source: RNAcentral
AGAAUAAUUCGUUAGGUGAGGUUCCUAUACAGAUAUAUGCUGCUGCCCGGAAACAUCGAGAGAUGCCAAUGGGUCAACAGGUACUACCGAAAUAAGGUUUUACUUAAUGUAGCUGGAUUUGUUUUUCCUAAGCUGUAUAGUGCUAAAACUCAACGAGUGAAGGUGUUU